AUACGUAGGGUGCAAGCGUUAAUCGGAAUUACUGGGCGUAAAGCGUGCGCAGGCGGUUUUGUAAGACAGUGGUGAAAUCCCCGGGCUCAACCUGGGAACUGCCAUUGUGACUGCAAGGCUGGAGUGCGGCAGAGGGGGAUGGAAUUCCGCGUGUAGCAGUGAAAUGCGUAGAUAUGCGGAGGAACACCGAUGGCGAAGGCAAUCCCCUGGGCCUGCACUGACGCUCAUGCACGAAAGCGUGGGGAGCAAACAGGAUUAGAUACCCUGGUAGUCCACGCCCUAAACGAUGUCAACUGGUUGUUGGGGAUUUAUUUUCUCAGUAGCGAAGCUAACGCGUGAAGUUGACCGCCUGGGGAGUACGGCCGCAAGGUUAAAACUCAAAGGAAUUGACGGGG
RNAcentral lists this ribosomal RNA (395 nucleotides) under uncultured bacterium. RNAcentral describes it as "partial 16S ribosomal RNA". It matches the Rfam family "Bacterial small subunit ribosomal RNA", at positions 523 to 918 of the family's 1533-position model. The record is from RNAcentral.